AGUGAACGCUGGCGGCGUGCUUAACACAUGCAAGUCGAACGAGAACGGAAUAUAGCUUGCUAUAUUUGUCAGCUAAGUGGCGCACGGGUGAGUAAUGUAUAGAUAACCUGCCCUUAAGAAAGGAAUAACAGUUGGAAACGACUGCUAAUGCCCUAUAUGCCUUUAAUACAUAAGUAUGCAAGGGAAACGCUUUAGUGCUUAAGGAUGGGUCUGUAUGGUAUCAGCUUGUUGGUGAGGUAAUGGCUCACCAAGGCUAUGACGCCUAACUGGUCUGAGAGGAUGAUCAGUCACACUGGAACUGAGACACGGUCCAGACUCCUACGGGAGGCAGCAGUGGGGAGUAUUGCACAAUGGACGAAAGUCUGAUGCAGCAACGCCGCGUGGAGGAUGACACAUUUCGGUGCGUAAACUCCUUUUAUAUAGGAAGAUAAUGACGGUACUAUAUGAAUAAGCACCGGCUAACUCCGUGCCAGCAGCCGCCGUAA
Molecule: ribosomal RNA, 485 nt
Filed under: uncultured bacterium
Lineage: Bacteria
Description: partial 16S ribosomal RNA
Rfam family: Bacterial small subunit ribosomal RNA
Source: RNAcentral